UCCCACCCUCUGCAGACUGCCAUCCAUGUGGCUCAUCACUGUGACUCAGGGUUUGGUCAUCCAACCAUGUAGAGAUCACUACCAUUCCACAAGUGUUCCCUGCCCUCCUUCUGUCUGUGAGGUCCUCUGUCCCAUCCUGAGGACACAGAGAUCUACUGGGUAUGUUUCCAGCUUUCCAGGAGAGACCACAGAGCCUGGUGAGGGAAAUACACCUGCAAAGAGAACUUCAGUGCAGUAACAGCAACGGGCAUAGCCGGUGUGUUCACCAACUAAUGAGAGAUCACACUACCAACAUCUCCCACUUGAUUUUCCGCAUCAACUAACAGCUUAUCAUGGAAAUUAUCCCUUUGGUAGAGUGAAAUAUAAUUUGGCGAGGAAGAUCAACAUGUAGGCCUAGACCAAGACGAAGUUUACAACCUCCUGAGCUGAUUGGGAGUAUGCAGUCUUGCUCUGUCACCCAGGCUGGAGUGCAGUGGUGUGAUCUCGGCUCACUGCAACCUCCGCUUCCCGUGUUCAAGCGAUUCUCCUGCCUCAGCCUCCCAAGUAGCUGGGAUUACAGGCAUGCGCCACCACGCCCGGGUAAUUUUUGUAUUCUUAGUAGAGACAAGGUUUCACUGUGUUUGCUAGGCUGGUCUCGAACUCUUGACCUCGUGAUCUGCUUGCCUUGGCUUCCCAAAGUGCUGGGCAUGAACCACUGCGCCCGGCCAAAACUUUUUAUUUAUACACACACAACCACAGUCCCAGGAGCCCAGUGAUGAGGAGCCUCGAGAGGAACCACCAACUGAAAGUCGGGAUCCUACACCUGGUCAGAAGAGGGAAGAUCAGGGUGCAGCUGAUAUUCAAGGUGGUGGGAAGGGAAAGAAAGAACGUCUAUGGGGGGAGGAGGCCUAUGUGUGCAUCAUGCAUUAUGCCAUGACCGGUAACAGGAGGAAAGAAAACAUUAGGAAAGGAUCGCAAACAUUUGCUGAAAGUUGGCUGGAAAAGUGAAGAGUACAGUUUACAGCUUCAUGCAGUCCCUGGAUAUAAGGAAUCUUCUCCUAACUUUGAAAUAUAUUUUGUGCCUCCCUCUCCCUCUCCCUCUCCAUCUCCCUCUCCCUCUCCCCACGGUCUCCCUCUCUUUCCACGGUCUCCCUCUCAUGCGGAGCCGAAGCUGGACUGUACUGCUGCCAUCUCGGCUCACUGCAACCUCCCUGCCUGAUUCUCCUGCCUCAGCCUGCCGAGUGCCUGCGAUUGCAGGCACGCGCCGCCACGCCUGACUGGUUUUGGUGGAGACGGCGUUUCGCUGUGUUGGCCGGGCUGGUCUCCAGCCUCUAACCGCGAGUGAUCCGCCAGCCUCGGCCUCCCGAGGUGCUGGGAUUGCAGACGGAGUCUCGUUCACUCAGUGCUCAAUGGUGCCCAGGCUGGAGUGCAGUGGCGUGAUCUCGGCUUGCUACAACCUACACCUCCCAGCCGCCUGCCUUGGCCUCCCAAAGUGCCGAGAUUGCAGCCUCUGCCCGGCCGCCACCCCGUCUGGGAAGUGAGGAGCGUCUCUGCCUGGCCGCCCAUCGUCUGGGAUGUGAGGAGCCCCUCUGCCUGGCUGCCCAGUCUGGAAAGUGAGGAGCGUCUCUGCCCGGCCGCCAUCCCAUCUAGGAAGUGAGGAGCGCCUCUUCCCAGCCGCCAUCACAUCUAGGAAGUGAGGAGCGUCUCUGCCCGGCCGCCCAUCGUCUGAGAUGUGGGGAGCGCCUCUGCCCCGCCGCCCCAUCUGGGAGGUGAGGAGCGUCUCUGCCUGGCCGCCCCAUCUGAGAAGUGAGGAGACCCUCUGCCUGGCAGCUGCCCCGUCUGAGAAGUGAGGAGCCUCUCCGCCCGGCAGCCACCCCAUCUGGGAAGUGAGGAGCGUCUCCGCCCGGCAGCCACCCCGUCCGGGAGGGAGGUGGGGGGGGGUCCACCCCCCGCCCGGCCAGCCGCCCCGUCCGGGAGGGAGGUGGGGGGGUCAGCCCCCCGCCCGGCCAGCCGCCCCGUCCGGGAGGGAGGUGGGGGGGUCAGCCCCCCCGCCUGGCCAGCCGCCCCGUCCGGGAGGGAGGUGGGGGGGUCAGCCCCCCGCCCGGCCAGCCGCCCCGUCCGGGAGGUGAGGGGCGCCUCUGCCCGGCCUCCCCUACUGGGAAGUGAGGAGCCCCUCUGCCCGGCCACCACCCCGUCUGGGAGGUGUACCCAACAGCUCAUUGAGAACGGGCCAUGAUGACAAUGGUGGUUUUGUGGAAUAGAAAGGCGGGAAAGGUGGGGAAAAGAUUGAGAAAUCGGAUGGUUGCCGUGUCUGUGUAGAAAGAAGUAGACAUGGGAGACUUUUCAUUUUGUUCUGCACUAAGAAAAAUUCUUCUGCCUUGGGAUCCUGUUGAUCUGUGACCUUACCCCCAACCCUGUGCUCUCUGAAACAUGUGCUGUGUCCACUCAGGGUUAAAUGGAUUAAGGGCGGUGCAAGAUGUGCUUUGUUAAACAGAUGCUUGAAGGCAGCAUGCUCGUUAAGAGUCAUCACCAAUCCCUAAUCUCAAGUAAUCAGGGACACAAACACUGCGGAAGGCCGCAGGGUCCUCUGCCUAGGAAAACCAGAGACCUUUGUUCACUUGUUUAUCUGCUGACCUUCCCUCCACUAUUGUCCCAUGACCCUGCCAAAUCCCCCUCUGUGAGAAACACCCAAGAAUUAUCAAUAAAAAAAUAAAUUAAAAAAAAAAAUAAAAUGUCGCCUGUCAAGCGACUGCUUAUGAAGGGUUAUUCCUCAACUAAAUAUUUCUAAAUGAGUCUGAGGUCUGUUGGCCUUCAAUCUCUACCAAAACCCAGAGAACUUGAUGAUGCCUUUGUUUUCAGAGAAUCCUUCCAGUGUGCUGGCUGACAGUUCCAUGAGGAUGGCAAAAGUGAAGAAAUUGUAGCGCCAGUAAAAAAGAGAUGGAUACACUUCUU
Molecule: long non-coding RNA, 2931 nt
Filed under: Homo sapiens (human)
Lineage: Eukaryota; Metazoa; Chordata; Mammalia; Primates; Hominidae
Source: RNAcentral